RNAcentral lists this unclassified non-coding RNA (326 nucleotides) under fungal sp. RNAcentral's name for it is "partial internal transcribed spacer region". The stretch from base 1 to 45 matches the Rfam family "Eukaryotic small subunit ribosomal RNA", at positions 1787 to 1831 of the family's 1831-position model. Lineage: Eukaryota; Fungi. The record is from RNAcentral.
AGUCGUAACAAGGUAUCCGUAGGUGAACCUGCGGAUGGAUCAUUAAAGAUAUUUGAUGAAUUGGUAGUGUGAACUGUUUAAUGUUAGUUGACGUAGUACUAUGGUACCUGGUAGUCUAAAAGUUUGUUUACCAAACAAAAGACUAGUUGACUCAAUGCACUAUGCCUUGUCAGGUAGUACCUCUAGUCUGAAGUUUGUUUACCAAACAAAAGACUUUUGACUAGAACAUACACUAUGUCAACUUGUAUAUUUUACUACUAAAUUUCAAGUGUCAUUGUACACAAACAAAAGUUUUACAACUUUUAGCAAUGGAUCUCUUGGCUCUC